AAAAAACUUGCAUACACAAGCUCAGACCUGACGUGAGAUUUCAUCGCAGCCUGCGCUCACGUUCAAAUUGAUAAAUGCCAAGCUCAACGUUGAAAUGAGCGUUUUUAACUGCGCAAUUACCGUGUGUGGAUUCGACUUGCCGCCCCUUUGACUCGGAAUCGCACUACACGGAUACCUGCUCAGAAAGACAAGAGAAACGCUAGUUUGGGAGAUUAAAUUCAACACAAUGAGCGGCCAACAGGGAAUGCAGAGGACUUCUGCGUGGUGUGCUCCUUUGCCGAAGAAAAUGCAGAUGAGAGCAUGAUUGAAAAGGUGCAGUGUGGAUUGUGCAGUCGGUGGGCACAUUUUGAGUGUGCCCAAUAUGCCCAUAAAAAUAAGGCUGUAUAUAUUUGCAAGAAAUGACUUCAAAUAAAAAGAUUUGAGAUCUUUUGGUUG
This is a long non-coding RNA of Gadus morhua (Atlantic cod), 435 nucleotides long. The record is from Ensembl. NCBI's taxonomy places the organism in Eukaryota, Metazoa, Chordata, Actinopteri, Gadiformes, Gadidae.